GCAAACUUGGUCAUUUAGAGGAAGUAAAAGUCGUAACAAGGUCUCCGUUGGUGAACCAGCGGAGGGAUCAUUAAAGAGUUAUUACAACUCCUAAACCCAUGUGAACCUACCUUUGUUGCCUCGGCAGGUCUGCAGCUUACCCCGUGGUACCCUACCCUGUAGGUACCUUACCCGGUAGUUGCAGGUAGAACCUGGCGGUGGUCUAUUAAACUCUGUUUACUAUGUUAUUCUGAAUAAUAUAACUAAAUACGUUAAAACUUUCAACAACGGAUCUCUUGGUUCUGGCAUCGAUGAAGAACGCAGC
This 304-nucleotide unclassified non-coding RNA is filed under the name uncultured fungus. RNAcentral's name for it is "partial contains small subunit ribosomal RNA, internal transcribed spacer 1, and 5.8S ribosomal RNA". The stretch from base 1 to 73 matches the Rfam family "Eukaryotic small subunit ribosomal RNA", at positions 1759 to 1831 of the family's 1831-position model. Lineage: Eukaryota; Fungi. The record is from RNAcentral.